RNAcentral lists this unclassified non-coding RNA (364 nucleotides) under uncultured bacterium. RNAcentral's name for it is "contains 16S-23S intergenic spacer region". The record is from RNAcentral.
UCCCGGUUGUCCCGGGCAGUAUUGCCUGAAAAAUACAACAGGCAAGAGGGGUUGCGCUCGUUGCGGGACUUAACCCAACAUCUCACGACACGAGCUGACGACGGCCAUGCAGCACCUGUCACCAGGCUCCAAAAGGCACUCCUCUGUUUCCAGAAGAUUCCUGGGAUGUCAAACCUCGGUAAGGUUCUUCGCGUAUCAUCGAAUUAAACCACAUCAUCCACUGCUUGUGCGGGUCCCCGUCAAUUCCUUUGAGUUUUAAGCUUGCGCUCGUACUCCCCAGGCGGGAUGCUUAUCGCGUUAGCUUCUCAGCACAGAGGGUCGAUACUCCAUACUAAUAGCAUCCAUCGUUUACGGCGUGGACUAC